Photinus pyralis (common eastern firefly) is the source of this 284-nucleotide long non-coding RNA. RefSeq lists it as uncharacterized. The transcript has 4 exons. The record is from RefSeq and is a predicted model, not a curated record. Lineage: Eukaryota; Metazoa; Arthropoda; Insecta; Coleoptera; Lampyridae.
AUUUUCAUUAUGUAUAAUUAGGACACUCGCGCGGUUAAAUUUCGUAGGAUUAAAGCAGUUGGACAAAUUAGUGCUAAUAAUUGCGGGGAUCGUACAUGGUAAAGUAAAGGGAACCCUCCAAAUAUUAUAAACGGAAUGCACCGUACAGGUGCAGAUGAAGAUAAAGAACCCUUCUUCUACGGGCCCGCAUUUGCUGCCAGCAAGCCAGCCAACCAGCUAGCUGGACAAAAUGCAGAAGAUUUUUGAUUGCGUCAACCAAAGCGAUAGGGUACUGAAUUUAGGGC